GACGUAGGAGGCGAGCGUUGUCCGGAUUCAUUGGGCGUAAAGAGCACGCAGGCGGUUUGGCAAGGCGGAUGUGAAAGCCCGGAGCUCAACUCCGGACCUGCAUCCGAAACUGCCCGACUAGAGGUAGGUAGGGGAGAUCGGAAUUCCUGGUGUAGCGGUGAAAUGCGCAGAUAUCAGGAGGAACACCGGUGGCGAAGGCGGAUCUCUGGGCCUUACCUGACGCUCAGGUGCGAAAGCUAGGGGAGCGAACAGG
Molecule: ribosomal RNA, 253 nt
Filed under: uncultured bacterium
Lineage: Bacteria
Description: partial 16S ribosomal RNA
Rfam family: Bacterial small subunit ribosomal RNA
Source: RNAcentral